GACGAACGCUGGCGGCGUGCUUAACACAUGCAAGUCGAACGGUAAGGCCCUUCGGGGUACACGAGUGGCGAACGGGUGAGUAACACGUGGGUGAUCUGCCCUGCACUUCGGGAUAAGCCUGGGAAACUGGGUCUAAUACCGGAUAGGACCACUGCCUGCAUGGGUGGUGGUGGAAAGCUUUUGCGGUGUGGGAUGGGCCCGCGGCCUAUCAGCUUGUCGGUGGGGUGAUGGCCUACCAAGGCGACGACGGGUAGCCGGCCUGAUAGGGUGACCGGCCACACUUGGACUGAGAUACGGCCCAGACUCCUACGGGAGGCAGCAGUGGGGAAUAUUGCACAAUGGGCGCAAGCCUGAUGCAGCGACGCCGCGUGAGGGAUGACGGCCUUCGGGUUGUAAACCUCUUUCAGCACCGACGAAGCGCAAGUGACGGUAGGUGCAGAAGAAGGACCGGCCAACUACGUGCCAGCCGCCGCGGUAA
This 478-nucleotide ribosomal RNA is filed under the name uncultured bacterium. RNAcentral's name for it is "partial 16S ribosomal RNA". It matches the Rfam family "Bacterial small subunit ribosomal RNA", at positions 28 to 523 of the family's 1533-position model. The record is from RNAcentral.